AGUGAAUAGAUACCCGGGUAGUCCUGGCCCUAAACGUUGCUCGCUCGCUCUACGGAGUAUCGACCCUCUGUGGGGCUAAAGCUAAACGCGGUAAGCGAGCCGCCUGGGUAGUACGAGCGCAAGCUUAAAACUCAAAGGAAUAGACGGGGACUCGCACAAGCGGUGGAUCAUGUGGCUUAAUUCGUCGAUAAGCGAAACCUUACCAAGGCUAGAAACCAUGCUGCAUCCAACCCGAAAGGGAUGGAGCCUUCGAGGGUGCAUGGCAGGUGAUGCAUGGUCGUCGUCAGUUCGUGGCUUGAGCUGUUCCCUUCAGUGGGUUAACGAACGCAACCCUCGUUGUC
Molecule: ribosomal RNA, 341 nt
Filed under: uncultured bacterium
Lineage: Bacteria
Description: bacterial SSU rRNA
Rfam family: Bacterial small subunit ribosomal RNA
Source: RNAcentral